UGAACGCUGGCGGCGUGCCUAAUACAUGCAAGUCGAGCGAACGGACGAGAAGCUUGCUUCUCUGAUGUUAGCGGCGGACGGGUGAGUAACACGUGGAUAACCUACCUAUAGGACUGGGAUAACUUCGGGAAACCGGAGCUAAUACCGGAUAAUAUUUUGAACCGCAUGGUUCACAAGUGAAAGACGGUCUUGCUGUCACUUAUAGAUGGAUCCGCGCUGCAUUAGCUAGUUGGUAAGGUAACGGCUUACCAAGGCAACGAUGCAUAGCCGACCUGAGAGGGUGAUCGGCCACACUGGAACUGAGACACGGUCCAGACUCCUACGGGAGGCAGCAGUAGGGAAUCUUCCGCAAUGGGCGAAAGCCUGACGGAGCAACGCCGCGUGAGUGAUGAAGGUCUUCGGAUCGUAAAACUCUGUUAUUAGGGAAGAACAUAUGUGUAAGUAACUGUGCACAUCUUGACGGUACCUAAUCAGAAAGCCACGGCUAACUACGUGC
Molecule: ribosomal RNA, 496 nt
Filed under: uncultured bacterium
Lineage: Bacteria
Description: partial 16S ribosomal RNA
Rfam family: Bacterial small subunit ribosomal RNA
Source: RNAcentral